This 108-nucleotide non-coding RNA is filed under the name Notamacropus eugenii (tammar wallaby). The record is from RNAcentral. Lineage: Eukaryota; Metazoa; Chordata; Mammalia; Diprotodontia; Macropodidae.
GUGUUGUAUGAAAGGAGAGAAGAUUAGCAUUCCCAUUGAUAAGAAUGGAAGAAAAGUCCUAGUGGCCUUUAUACAUACAGUUAAGACAACUAAUGUGGAAAUUUGUUU